GGGCCGAGGGAGAGAGACGGCACGAAGCGAGCGGCAGCGCCGGUGUGGGGGAAGGAAGAAGUGGGAGAUGGGGGUCGGAGGAUAGAACUUGGGAAUAUGUGACUCUCCAAAAGACUCCCAAAACAGUUAUUGGAUGUAAACAGCACAGCUGACUAAGAGGCUAACUGGAGAUCAUGGUGCCUUCCAAGGCAGACUCAUUUCAGGUCCAACAUGGGAUCAUGUUGCUGGUUGUCCAAAAGAUAAGUCAGGGUCCACAGCCUUGAGAUCGGAUGAUAGUAGGAUACUAGGUUGGAGAUUCCUGGGACAGGUUUAAAAACUGGUAGAGGGGAAUGGGAUGUCCUUUAAGGGGCCUCUUAGGACAUCUAAAGGGAGCAGCUCUGCUUUUGAUUGCUGGUGAAGGGUGUGCAGAGCAGUUCUAGUCUGUCCUGUCCAGUUUGUGUGGUGUUGCCUGGUGUGCCAAAGUGUCUAGUGUG
Poecile atricapillus (Black-capped chickadee) is the source of this 473-nucleotide long non-coding RNA. RefSeq lists it as uncharacterized. The transcript has 3 exons. The record is from RefSeq and is a predicted model, not a curated record. Lineage: Eukaryota; Metazoa; Chordata; Aves; Passeriformes; Paridae.